RNAcentral lists this ribosomal RNA (279 nucleotides) under Salmonella enterica. RNAcentral's name for it is "partial 23S ribosomal RNA". It matches the Rfam family "Bacterial large subunit ribosomal RNA", at positions 2652 to 2925 of the family's 2925-position model. RNAcentral also lists the same sequence under 1 other name. Lineage: Bacteria; Pseudomonadati; Pseudomonadota; Gammaproteobacteria; Enterobacterales; Enterobacteriaceae. The record is from RNAcentral.
CGCUGGAGAACUGAGGGGGGCUGCUCCUAGUACGAGAGGACCGGAGUGGACGCAUCACUGGUGUUCGGGUUGUCAUGCCAAUGGCACUGCCCGGUAGCUAAAUGCGGAAGAGAUAAGUGCUGAAAGCAUCUAAGCACGAAACUUGCCCCGAGAUGAGUUCUCCCUGAGACUUAGAGUCUCCUGAAGGAACGUUGAAGACGACGACGUUGAUAGGCCGGGUGUGUAAGCGCAGCGAUGCGUUGAGCUAACCGGUACUAAUGAACCGUGAGGCUUAACCUU